Molecule: ribosomal RNA, 1337 nt
Filed under: Clostridioides difficile
Lineage: Bacteria; Bacillati; Bacillota; Clostridia; Peptostreptococcales; Peptostreptococcaceae
Description: bacterial LSU rRNA
Rfam family: Bacterial large subunit ribosomal RNA
Source: RNAcentral
UGGUCAAGUUAUUAAGGGUGCAGGGCGGAUGCCUUGGCACUAGGAGCCGAUGAAGGACGUGAUAAGCUGCGAUAAGCUUCGGGGAGUUGCACGUAAACUUUGAUCCGAAGAUUUCCGAAUGAGGAAACUCACUUAGAGUAAUGUCUAAGUAUCAUUAAGUGAAUACAUAGCUUAAUGAGGGGAACUCAGGGAACUGAAACAUCUAAGUACCUGAAGGAAGAGAAAGAAAUUCGAUUCCGUAAGUAGCGGCGAGCGAACGCGGAUUAGCCCAAACCAAUAAAGUUUUCUUUAUUGGGGUUGCGGACAUAUCAUAACGAAGAGGUAUCGUAAUUGAAGAGGUUUGGAAAGACCCACCACAGAAGGUAAUAGUCCUGUAUGUUAAACGAGAAGACUUUAGAUAUGAUCCAGAGUACCACGGGACACGUGAAACCCUGUGGGAAGCAGGAGGGACCACCCUCCAAGGCUAAAUACUACCUAGUGACCGAUAGCGUAUAGUACCGUGAGGGAAAGGUGAAAAGAACCCCGGGAGGGGAGUGAAAUAGAACCUGAAACCCUGCACUUACAAGCUGUGGAAGCACAUUUCUUGUGUGACCGCGUACUUUUUGUAGAACGGGCCAACGAGUUACGUUAAGUAGCAAGGUUAAGCACUUAAGGUGUGGAGCCGUAGCGAAAGCGAGUUUUAACUGAGCGUUCAGUUACUUGACGUAGACCCGAAACCGGGCGACCUACCCAUGAGCAGGAUGAAGCGAAAGUAAAAUUUCGUGGAGGUCCGAACCCACGAGCGUUGAAAAGCUCGGGGAUGACUUGUGGGUAGCGGUGAAAUUCCAAUCGAGCCCGGAGAUAGCUGGUUCUCCCCGAAAUAGCUUUAGGGCUAGCCUCAAGGUGAGAGAUACGGAGGUAGAGCACUGAAUGUCCUAGGGGGUAUUGCACCUACCGAAGACUAUCAAACUCCGAAUGCCGUCAUCUUAUACUUGGGAGUCAGACUGUGGGUGAUAAGAUUCAUAGUCGAAAGGGCAACAGCCCAGAUCGUCAGCUAAGGUCCCUAAAUGUAAGUUAAGUGGUAAAGGAUGUGGGAUUGCACAGACAACCAGGAUGUUGGCUUAGAAGCAGCCACUCAUUCAAAGAGUGCGUAAUAGCUCACUGGUCGAGUGAUCCUGCGCCGAAGAUUUCCGGGGCUAAAACUUACUACCGAAGCUACGGCAUCAGUAAUGAUGGGUAGGGGAGCUUCCCAUACGGGUUGAAGCAUGACCGUAAGGACAUGUGGACAGUAUGGGAGUGAGAAUGUUGGCAUGAGUAGCGAGAUGUGGGUGAGAAUCCCACAGGCCGUAAACCCAAGG